UAUCAGGAGGAGGGAGAGAGGAAAGGUGGGGAUAUCAGGAGGAGGGAGAGAGGAAAGGUGGGGAUAUCAGGAGGAGGGAGAGAAGAAAGGUGGGGAUAUCAGGAGGAGGGAGAGAGGAAAGGUGGGGAUAUCAGGAGGAGGGAGAGAGGAAAGGUGGGGAUAUCAGGAGGAGGGAGAGAGGAAAGGUGGGGAUAUCAGGAGGAGGGAGAGAGGAAAGGUGGUGAUAUCAGGAGGAGGGAGAGAGGAAAGGUGGGGAUAUCAGGAGGAGGGAGAGUGGAAAGGAGGGGAUAUCAGGAGGAGGGAGAGAGGAAAGGAGGGGAUAUCAGGAGGAGGGAGAGGAAAGGAGGGGAUAUCAGGAGGAGGGAGAGAGGAAAGGAGGGGAUAUCAGGAGGAGGGAGAGAGGAAAGGUGGGGAUAUCAGGAGGAGGGAGAGAGGAAAGGUGGGGAUAUCAGGAGGAGGGAGAGAGGAAAGGUGGGGAUAUCAGGAGGAGGGAGAGAGGAAAGGUUGGGAUAUCAGGAGGAGGGAGAGAGGAAAGGUGGGGAUAUCAGGAGGAGGGAGAGAGGAAAGGUUGGGAUAUCAGGAGGAGGGAGAGAGGAAAGGUGGGGAUAUCAGGAGGAGGGAGAGAGGAAAGGUGGGGAUAUCAGGAGGAGGGAGAGAGGAAAGGUGGGGAUAUCAGUAGGAGGGAGAGAGGAAAGGUGGGGAUAUCAGGAGGAGGGAGAGAGGAAAGGUGGUGAUAUCAGGAGGAGGGAGAGAGGAAAGGAGGGGAUAUCAGGAGGAGGGAGAGAGGAAAGGUGGGGAUAUCAGGAGGAGGGAGAGAGGAAAGGUGGGGAUAUCAGGAGGAGGGAGAGAGGAAAGGUUGGGAUAUCAGGAGGAGGGAGAGAGGAAAGGUGGGGAUAUCAGGAGGAGGGAGAGAGGAAAGGUGGGGAUAUCAGGAGGAGGGAGAGAGGAAAGGUGGGGAUAUCAGGAGGAGGGAGAGAGGAAAGGUGGGGAUAUCAGGAGGAGGGAGAGAGGAAAGGUGGGGAUAUCAGGAGGAGGGAGAGAGGAAAGGUGGGGAUAUCAGGAGGAGGGAGAGAGGAAAGGUGGUGA
RNAcentral lists this long non-coding RNA (1086 nucleotides) under Oncorhynchus mykiss (rainbow trout). Its description in RNAcentral is "lncRNA (ENSOMYG00000049118.1)". Lineage: Eukaryota; Metazoa; Chordata; Actinopteri; Salmoniformes; Salmonidae. The record is from RNAcentral.